This 822-nucleotide ribosomal RNA is filed under the name uncultured Planctomycetota bacterium. RNAcentral's name for it is "bacterial SSU rRNA". It matches the Rfam family "Bacterial small subunit ribosomal RNA", at positions 1 to 835 of the family's 1533-position model. The record is from RNAcentral. Lineage: Bacteria; Pseudomonadati; Planctomycetota.
UCUCUCACUCCUCCCUUUCCCCGGUUGCGGCUUAGCGCUCUUCGCGCUAAACGCAAGCGAGUUGGACAAGGUCGGAGUGAGAGGCUGGGGGAAGUGGCGAAAGGGGCAGUAAUGCGUGGGUAACCUACCCUGGGGACCGGGAUAGCCAUUCCAACGAGUGGGUAAUACCGGGCAAUGUAGUUGAGGGGCAUCUCUUGGCUACCAGAUGAAUUUCGCCUCGGGAGGGGCUCACGUCGUAUUAGCUAGUUGGUGAGGUAACGGCUCACCAAGGCAAAGAUGCGUAGCGGGUGUGAGAGCACGACCCGCGCCACUGGCACUGAGACACUGGCCAGACACCUACGGGUGGCUGCAGUCGAGGAUCUUUGGCAAUGAGCGCAAGCUUGACCAAGCGACGCCGCGUGUGCGAUGAAGGCCUUCGGGUUGUAAAGCACUGUCGAGGGGGACGAAGCCGCAAGGUUGACCGAUCCCUGGAGGAAGCACGGGCUAAGUUCGUGCCAGCAGCCGCGGUAAGACGAACCGUGCGAACGUUGUUCGGAAUCACUGGGCUUAAAGGGCGCGUAGGCGGCUUGUCAAGUCAGGGGUGAAAUCUUUCGGCUCAACCGGAAAAGUGCCCUUGAUACUGACAGGCUCGAGGGAGGUAGGGGCAUGUGGAACUUCUGGUGGAGCGGUGAAAUGCGUUGAUAUCAGAAGGAACGCCGGUGGCGAAAGCGACGUGCUGGACCUCUUCUGACGCUGAGGCGCGAAAGCUAGGGGAGCAAACGGGAUUAGAUACCCCGGUAGUCCUAGCCCUAAACGAUGGGUACUAGGUUGUAGACUUGACAU